RNAcentral lists this ribosomal RNA (463 nucleotides) under uncultured bacterium. Its description in RNAcentral is "partial 16S ribosomal RNA". It matches the Rfam family "Bacterial small subunit ribosomal RNA", at positions 28 to 507 of the family's 1533-position model. The record is from RNAcentral.
GACGAACGCUGGCGGCGUGCUUAACACAUGCAAGUCGAACGGAAAGGCCUUUUCGGCGGUACUCGAGUGGCGAACGGGUGAGUAACACGUGGGUGAUCUGCCCUGCACUCUGGGAUAAGCCUGGGAAACUGGGUCUAAUACCGGAUAGGACCGCACUUUAGUGUGUGUGGUGGAAAGUUUUUUCGGUGUAGGAUGAGCCCGCGGCCUAUCAGCUUGUUGGUGGGGUAAUGGCCUACCAAGGCGGCGACGGGUAGCCGGACUGAGAGGUUGGUCGGCCACAUUGGGACUGAGAUACGGCCCAGACUCCUACGGGAGGCAGCAGUGGGGAAUAUUGCACAAUGGGCGCAAGCCUGAUGCAGCGACGCCGCGUGGGGGAGGACGGCCUUCGGGUUGUAAACUCCUUUCGCCAGGGACGAAGCGUUUUGUGACGGUACCUGGAGAAGAAGCACCGGCUAACUACGUG